AUACGGAGGGUGCAAGCGUUGUUCGGAAUUACUGGGCGUAAAGCGCGUGUAGGCGGUUUGGUAAGUCAGAUGUGAAAGCCCUGGGCUCAACCCGGGAAGUGCAUUUGAAACUGCCUUUCUUGAGUAUGGGAGAGGAGAGUGGAAUUCCCAGUGUAGAGGUGAAAUUCGUAGAUAUUGGGAGGAACACCCGUGGCGAAGGCGACUCUCUGGACCAAUACUGACGCUGAGACGCGAAAGCGUGGGGAUCAAACAGGAUUAGAUACCCCGGUAGUCC
This 274-nucleotide ribosomal RNA is filed under the name uncultured bacterium. Its description in RNAcentral is "partial 16S ribosomal RNA". It matches the Rfam family "Bacterial small subunit ribosomal RNA", at positions 523 to 796 of the family's 1533-position model. The record is from RNAcentral.